CAGCUGGAAGGACAACAGUUGGCUGAGCUGUUGCUCAGAUCAUCUUGGAGUGCGACACUGAUGCCAGUCCAAUUCAAGGCAAAGGGAAAUUCUGAAAAGAAAUGCCUGGGCUAAUAACAGGGAACCUGUCUGGUGCCAGUGUGGAGCUGAGCAGCAGGUCCUGCAGCUGGAUGAGGGGGUGAGACCACACUUGGCGACAGGGAUGCAGACUCAGGGUCACCAGC
Alligator sinensis (Chinese alligator) is the source of this 224-nucleotide long non-coding RNA. RefSeq lists it as uncharacterized. The record is from RefSeq and is a predicted model, not a curated record. The transcript is spliced from 3 exons. Lineage: Eukaryota; Metazoa; Chordata; Crocodylia; Alligatoridae.